GGAGAGGUGGUCGAAUGGUUAAGGCGCUUGUUUGCUAAACAAGUUUGGGAAAUCCCAUUGCAGGUUCGAGUCCUGUCCUCUCCG
RNAcentral lists this transfer RNA (84 nucleotides) under Microcoleus sp. FACHB-831. It matches the Rfam family "tRNA". Rfam says of the family: Transfer RNA (tRNA) molecules are approximately 80 nucleotides in length. Their secondary structure includes four short double-helical elements and three loops (D, anti-codon, and T loops). The record is from Rfam by way of RNAcentral. Lineage: Bacteria; Bacillati; Cyanobacteriota; Cyanophyceae; Oscillatoriales; Microcoleaceae.